This 3729-nucleotide ribosomal RNA is filed under the name Triticum aestivum (bread wheat). Its description in RNAcentral is "partial small subunit ribosomal RNA". The record is from RNAcentral. Lineage: Eukaryota; Viridiplantae; Streptophyta; Magnoliopsida; Poales; Poaceae.
AUGAGGUCCACUACUUCCAGAUCCAUGACAAGCUCCAUGGCACCACCUACGCCACCACCCAAGAGGCCGGCCAUCAAGCUCUCCACGCCGGUAGUGCUAUUCGCCACUUGUUCCGGUGUUUUUCUUGCUCGCCUACACCCAAGAGCAAGAGCGAUGGUAGUGAUGAUGAUGCUCGGCAAUAUCCCAACCAGCAGCAACACGACAGUGACAGUCGUCCAAGACCGGCCUCAGACUGCUUCCAUGAUUAUACAGGAUACAUUGUAUGGCAGGAAAGGCAUUUUUGAGGAAACUGUCAGUCGUAUCACCGCUGCCACAAACAUUGUUUCUGUUCUUCCUAUAGUUGGUCCUGGGGGUAUUGGAAAGACAACUUUCACCACUCACCUGUACAAUGAUGCAAGUACUCAAGACCACUUCCAAGUCAGGGUCUGGGUAUGUGUGUCCACUGAUUUCGACGUGCUUAAGCUCACCAGGGAGAUCCUUGCCUGCAUACCUGCAAGUGAAGAAGGAGGAAGCAGCAGUGUUGCAAACGAAACAACCAAUUUAGACCAGCUUCAGAAAUCCAUAGCACAACGUAUCAAGUCCAAGAGGUUUCUGAUUGUAUUGGAUGAUAUAUGGAAAUGUGACGGCGAGGAUCAGUGGAAAACCCUGCUAGCUCCGUUCACAAAGGGGGAAGCCAAAGGAAGCAUGCUACUCGUCACAACUCGAUUCCCAAAGGUAGCAGACAUGGUGAAAACAGUUGAUCCACUAGAGCUGCGGGGUUUGGAGUCUAAUGACUUCUUCACAUUCUUUGAAUCAUGUAUAUUUGGUGCAGACAACAAGCCCGAGCAUUACGAAGAUGAGUUUGCUGGCAUUGCACGAAAAAUUGCAAACAAGCUAAAAGGUUCCCCGUUGGCAGCCAAAACAGUUGGUAGGUUAUUGCACAAGGACCUUUCUCAGAAACAUUGGAAUGGAGUUCUUGAAAAGCAUCAGUGGCUAAAGCAGCAAAAGAAUGAUGAUAUCAUGCCAUCUUUAAAGAUUAGCUAUGAUUGCCUCCCUUUUGAUCUGAAGAAAUGUUUUUCCUGUUGUGGCCUUUUCCCUGAAGAUCAUAGGUUUACUUCUUCAGAAAUCAAUCAUUUCUGGGUUGCAAUAGGUAUCAUAGACUCUGAUCAUCAAGACGAUAGGAACUACUUGGAAGAACUAGUGGACAAUGGUUUUCUCAUGAAGGAACCAGUGGACAAUGGUCAUCGGUACUGCUAUGUAAUGCAUGAUUUAAUGCAUGAGCUAUCUAAGAUUGUUUCUGCACAAGAAUGCCUCAAUAUAAGUGACUUAGAUUUCAGAGCUGAUGCCAUCCCACAAUCUGUUCGCCACUUAUCUAUCAACAUAGAAGACAGAUAUGAUGCAAAUUUUGAGGAAGAAAUGUGUAAACUGGGGGAGAGGAUAGAGAUUGCUAAUCUACAGACUUUGAUGAUUUUUAGAGAAUAUGAAGAAAGAAUCGCCAAGAUUUUGAAAGAUAGCUUCAAGGAAAUAAACUGUCUGCGUGUUCUGUUUGUAGUGGUGAAGUCUGCACAACCUUUUCCAUAUAGGUUUUCAAAACUUAUCCACCUCCAGUACCUCAAAAUUAAUUCAUCUCUCGAUGGUGACAGGGAAAUGAGGUUACCUAGUACACUAUCAAGAUUUUAUCACUUGAAAUUCUUGGACCUAGAUGGUUGGCAUGGUAGCUCUAAUUUGCCUGAAGACUUUAGCCACCUUGAGAAUUUACAUGAUUUCCAUGCUCGAAGACAUCUCCACUCCAACAUUCGCAAUGUCGGAAAGAUGAAGCAUCUGCAGGAGCUAAAAGGAUUCCAUGUUAAAAAGGAGAGCAUGGGAUUUGAACUGUCAGAACUUGGGGCAUUGCCAGAUCUUGAAGGAGGACUGUUUAUAUGUGGUCUUGAACACGUGGCAACCAAGGAGGAAGCUACUGCAGCCAAAAUGAUGUUGAAAAGGAAUCUGAAGGAGUUGGAAUUAUUCUGGGGCAGAGAUGGACCAACUACAGAUGCCGGUAUUAUUGAUGCUCUUAAACCACACUCUAAUCUUAGAGUACUGACAAUUGUAAGGCAUGGUGGUAUCGUUGGUCCUUGUUGGCUGUGUCUUGACAUGUGGUUAACAAGUUUAGAGACUCUCAGUCUACAUGACGUAUCUUGGAGCAACCUCCCACCUUUUGGGAAGCUACCAAAUCUCAAGGGCCUCUAUUUGAAUAAAGUUUCUGGAAUGCUUCAGUUUGGGCCUCUAUGUGGUGGCGCUCGAGGGAAAUGUUUUAUGCGCUUGAAGGAAGUUGGGUUUUAUGAGAUGCCAGAACUUGCUGAAUGGGUUGUGGAACCUAAUUGCCAUUCCUUUCCAAGUCUUGAAGAAAUCACAUGCAUCGAUUGUCCCAAUCUCCGUGUGAUGCCCUUGUCGGAGGUAUCUUGCACCAAUUUGCGGAGACUUUAUGUUUCCGGGUGCCCCAAGAUGUCUCUGGCCUCCAUGCCUCACACCUCCACACUGACACAUUUGGAUGUUAUAAGAGGUGGAAGUCCUAAUCCAGAUAAGUUGUUGUCUUAUGAUGGAAGGAAAUUGGUUGUUAGAGAGUAUGGCGGUGCUUUGGCCUACCACAAUCUGGAUAAAGUAGAAGAUAUGGAUGUCGGAAGAUGCGACCAUUUGUUCCCUGAAGAGCUGGAUGGCAGUAUUAUCUUCUGUUCAGUUAAGAGUCUCAAAUUAGAUGUAUCUCAUCUUACCAGCAAAUCAUCAUCUUCAAAAGUGGUAAACUGUUUCCCAGCUCUUUCUGUGUUGAAGAUAGAUGGAUAUGGACACCAUGACUAUGAGGUGGAAUGUGUAAUGCAGCAGUUCCCAUCAUCCAGCUCACUGCAGAAACUUACCUUGUCAAGGUGUGAGGGCGUGGUUCUUGUGCCUGUGGAGAAGGAGAAUGGAGGAGGAAUUCAGGAGGACAAGUCAUUGCUCCAAUCAUUAACAAUAUUCAGCUGUGGCAAAUUGUUCUCUCAGUGGCCCAUGGGAAUGGGAGAAUCAGAGACCAUUUGCCCUUUCCCUGCUUCCCUGAGGAAACUUGAUGUUCACGGAGAGCCAAGCAUGAAGUCAAUGGCUCUGCUCCCAAACCUCACGUCUCUCACCAGUCUAAGUCUGUCAAGCUGCAGUAAUUUAACAGUGCACGGAUUCAAUCCUCUCAUCGCAGUCAACCUCGUACAACUGCAAGUUCAUAAUUGCAACACCUUAGCAGCUGAUAUGCUCUCAGAGGUUGCCUCUCAGAGGGCCAAAUUAUUGCCUGCGGGUUACAUCUCUAGAUUGGAGAAACUCAGUGUGGAUGACAUCUCUGGAUUGCUUGUUGCUCCUAUUUGCAACCUCCUCGCCCCGGCCCUCCGCGAACUUUUAUUCGAGGAUAAUGGGAUGGAAGGCUUCACAGAAGAGCAAGAUAAAGCGCUGCAGCUCCUCACCUCCCUCCAGAAACUAAGUUUUUCCCAUUGCAAGGGUCUGCAGUCCCUUCCUCAAGGGUUACAUCGCCUUUCUUCUCUCGAGGAGUUACAUGUCAUUCAGUGUGCAGCAAUCCGAUGGAUGCCAAAGGAGGGCCUCCCGGUUUCGCUGAGAAAACUACAUAUGGAUUGUCGCAGCGCUGAGAUAGACGAGCAAAUUGAGACAAUCAAAAGAACCAACCCAGAUUUAUCCAUCUCAUAUUACCCCUCAAGCACCAGCUGUGAGAUAGACCUGAGCGCUUUAUUCGCAUGA